This 229-nucleotide unclassified non-coding RNA is filed under the name plant metagenome. RNAcentral describes it as "partial contains small subunit ribosomal RNA, internal transcribed spacer 1, and 5.8S ribosomal RNA". The record is from RNAcentral.
UCUCCGUAGGUGAACCUGCGGAGGGAUCAUUACAGAGUUCAUGCCCUACCGGGUAGAUCUCUCACCCUAUGGUAUUAUUACUUUGUUGCUUUGGCGGGCCGUUAGGCUCCGGCCCGACUACCGGCCCCGGCUGGUAAGCGCCCGCCAGAGGACCCAAAACCCUGAAUAUUAGUGUCGUCUGAGUACUAUAUAAUAGUUAAAACUUUCAACAACGGAUCUCUUGGUUCUG